AUUGAACGCUGGCGGAAGGAUUUACAUAUGCAAGUCGAACGAGUGGCGGACGGGUGAGUAAUGUCUGGGAAACCUCCUGCUGGAGGGGGGUAACUACUGGAAACGGUAGCUAAUUCCGCAUACCAUCAGCUUUGCCCAGAUGGGAUUAGCUUGGUGGUUGGGUAACGGCUCACCAAGGCGACGAUCCCUAGCUGGUCUGAGAGGAUGACCAGCCACACUGGAACUGAGACACGGUCCAGACUCCUACGGGAGGGAGCAGUGGGGAAUAUUGCACAAUGGGCGAAAGCCUGAUGCAGCCAUGCCGCGUGUAUGAAGAAGGCCUUCGGGUUGUAAAGUACUUUAAGCGGGGAGGCGUUACCCGCAGAAGAAGCACCGGCUAACUCCGUGCCAGCAGCCGCGGUAAUUC
This 406-nucleotide ribosomal RNA is filed under the name uncultured bacterium. RNAcentral's name for it is "partial 16S ribosomal RNA". It matches the Rfam family "Bacterial small subunit ribosomal RNA", at positions 30 to 526 of the family's 1533-position model. The record is from RNAcentral.